This 253-nucleotide ribosomal RNA is filed under the name uncultured bacterium. RNAcentral's name for it is "partial 16S ribosomal RNA". It matches the Rfam family "Bacterial small subunit ribosomal RNA", at positions 524 to 776 of the family's 1533-position model. The record is from RNAcentral.
UACGAAGGGGGCUAGCGUUGCUCGGAAUCACUGGGCGUAAAGGGUGCGUAGGCGGGUCUUUAAGUCAGGGGGGAAAUCCUGGAGCUCAACUCCAGAACUGCCUUUGAUACUGAAGAUCUUGAGUUCGGGAGAGGUGAGUGGAACUGCGAGUGUAGAGGUGAAAUUCGUAGAUAUUCGCAAGAACACCAGUGGCGAAGGCGGCCCACUGGCCCGAUACUGACGCUGAGGCACGAAAGCGUGGGGAGCAAACAGG